Molecule: ribosomal RNA, 496 nt
Filed under: uncultured bacterium
Lineage: Bacteria
Description: partial 16S ribosomal RNA
Rfam family: Bacterial small subunit ribosomal RNA
Source: RNAcentral
GAUGAACGCUGGCGGCGUGCCUAAUACAUGCAAGUCGAGCGAACGGACGAGAAGCUUGCUUCUCUGAUGUUAGCGGCGGACGGGUGAGUAACACGUGGAUAACCUACCUAUAAGACUGGGAUAACUUCGGGAAACCGGAGCUAAUACCGGAUAAUAUUUUGAACCGCAUGGUUCAAAAGUGAAAGACGGUCUUGCUGUCACUUAUAGAUGGAUCCGCGCUGCAUUAGCUAGUUGGUAAGGAACGGCUUACCAAGGCAACGAUGCAUAGCCGACCUGAGAGGGUGAUCGGCCACACUGGAACUGAGACACGGUCCAGACUCCUACGGGAGGCAGCAGUAGGGAAUCUUCCGCAAUGGGCGAAAGCCUGACGGAGCAACGCCGCGUGAGUGAUGAAGGUCUUCGGAUCGUAAAACUCUGUUAUUAGGGAAGAACAUAUGUGUAAGUAACUGUGCACAUCUUGACGGUACCUAAUCAGAAAGCCACGGCUAACUACGUG